RNAcentral lists this transfer RNA (72 nucleotides) under Aquimarina sp. MAR_2010_214. RNAcentral describes it as "tRNA-Glu". It matches the Rfam family "tRNA". Rfam says of the family: Transfer RNA (tRNA) molecules are approximately 80 nucleotides in length. Their secondary structure includes four short double-helical elements and three loops (D, anti-codon, and T loops). The record is from RNAcentral. Lineage: Bacteria; Pseudomonadati; Bacteroidota; Flavobacteriia; Flavobacteriales; Flavobacteriaceae.
GCUCCAUUAGCAUAGUGGUUAGUGCAUCCGACUUUCUAUCGGAAGACAAGGGUUCGAUUCCCUUAUGGAGUA